Molecule: long non-coding RNA, 1466 nt
Organism: Pecten maximus
Lineage: Eukaryota; Metazoa; Mollusca; Bivalvia; Pectinida; Pectinidae
Exons: 2
Source: RefSeq, a predicted model, not a curated record
CUACUGGUGGCGCUGCAUGGAAAGGACACCUGUUAGAGAACGAGAAUGGCUCUCCCGGGGACAGCUCGCCCGGGGGUGGUGCUCCUCCAUUCACAGUGUUUGGAGGGGGCGGAGGAGGCGGAGGUGGAGUAAUGGGUUCUCCUUGGAAGAAGAAGAACGCUAUCAGUCCUGUUGAAAAUGAAAUUCCACAGAAGACCACGCCCUCUAUUACGUCAGAUCCGGAUACGGACAGCACAGCUCUCUCCAAUGGCUGGCUCAACUUCCUGUCUGGAGAUGGUGGCCAUCUUAGAGAGCACCGCUAGGUCCAGUUUCACAUGACCAUCAUCAGCAUGGAAACGGAAUGUAUUUAACAGUUCCUCGAUUAAUUCGAAAACUGGUUGAUUACACCAGGAAUGAAUUUUACGUUUGAAACUGAACCCAUCCACCAGUUCAUAAGGAGUAUUGAAUACACUUUUAUUAAAUGGUUUGUGAAAUGAUUAAAAAGGAAACAAACUUGACUAAAUUCGGAACACAAAUCUUUCAUUCCCACCGUAGACAUCGAUACGAACAUUCGACAUGCUUGGAAGAUUCCCAACAUCUGCUGCCAGUUCUGAGACUGGUGUUACCGGAAAUAUACGUCCUGUGUAUCAUAUUGAUAUAAAUUAUAGACAUUAAUCCUGUGAAAUAUGUGAUAGAGAUAUUUUAUUGACUUAUAAGCACCUUAUGUGUUAGAUUGAGAUAUUUAACUGACCGAUAAGGGUCAUAUGUGUAAGAUUGAGAUUAAUAAAAUCAAACAUGAUCCUGUUCCGUAGACAUGGAUAUCUAAACCCACGAGGGUUGAAAGAUAUCCAGACCCAUGUUUGAUUAUUUUUCUCAUGUACUUUGCAAGCAAAUGCAAGAUCUUAUGAAAGUUUUUCAAAGCGCCAUCUACAGUGCUCCUUGGAAUGUCGUCAUCAUUUACGACAUUGUCACUCAACGUAAAAUGAUGACGUUACUUUAUUGUGAGCAGCGUCAUAUAGCGCGUGCAAGCUCCCUCUACUCCCCUGUGUGAGAUCGAAUUACCUUUUCCCUAGCAACCGCGGGAUAACAAUAUGGAGUAUGUGAGAAUAAUAGAAUAUAACAUAGGUCUGUUCCGUGGCCAGGGAUAUCUCAACCCGAGUGAAGAGUUUGGUCAGUCAGCACUAGGCUCCUUUUCAACAGCCAUAUUUCGUUAUUGCCGUGACACAUUAUGACGUCACAAUAAAAAUGACGUCAUAAUAAAGGUUCUGAAGUUAUGGACUCGUAAACUUCAAUUGAGCUUGUUUACAAAGUUAUAUAGUGGGGCUGCAGUGUAAAUGUAAAUACUGUAUUCAAAUUUUAUGUCACAUUCGUUGACGUCUUUCCGAUGUACAGCGUUCUGUACCAAACAAGUAGAGGUUAGAAUGUUAUGUAAAUUUAUGUAAAUUUAUGUAUAUUUUCAAAUGUAAUAUAAUUUUCAUCACCUAUCA